RNAcentral lists this ribosomal RNA (480 nucleotides) under Triticum aestivum (bread wheat). RNAcentral describes it as "partial small subunit ribosomal RNA". Lineage: Eukaryota; Viridiplantae; Streptophyta; Magnoliopsida; Poales; Poaceae. The record is from RNAcentral.
AUGAUAAGAGCAAUGGAAAUCUCUCUUAUAUUGGGCCAGAUGGGCAAAAUGCGCUACAUGCUGCGAUUUUUCGAGCCUCAGAACAGUGACCGCAUGGUAUACGAAGCACUCUACUUGGUUGGCGCUAAACAUAGUUGUGUUCGCUUCGAUCAGUUUGUAGAAAAGUAUAGUCCCUGGUUAAAACCAGAGGAUGAGGUCAAAGAAGCAGAGAAGAUGAAAGAUUCUAGCCAAAUGCUAGGCGUUGGUUCAGUUUUAAUAGCCACCAUUGCAUUUGGUGCAACCUUUGCUGUUCCUGGAGGGUUCAUAGCAGACGAUCGUACCAACAGAGGCACACCAACACUUGCUGGGAGGUAUACCUUUGAUGCAUUCAUGAUGGCGAAUGCAAUAGCUUUUAUUUGCUCCUUGAUAUCUACCAUGAGUCUCAUGUACUCUCGAAAUUCCUUGGUUAACUUGCUGACCGCCAAUUCAACUUCGCAAUAG